GACGAACGCUGGCGGCGUGCUUAACACAUGCCAGUCGAACGGAAAGGCCCUGCUUGCAGGGUACUCGAGUGGCGAACGGGUGAGUAACACGUGGGUGAUCUGCCCUGCACUUCGGGAUAAGCCUGGGAAACUGGGUCUAAUACCGGAUAGGAGCCAUUUUUAGUGUGAUGGUUGGAAAGUUUUUUCGGUGUAGGAUGAGCUCGCGGCCUAUCAGCUUGUUGGUGGGGUAAUGGCCUACCAAGGCGGCGACGGGUAGCCGGCCUGAGAGGGUGGACGGCCACAUUGGGACUGAGAUACGGCCCAGACUCCUACGGGAGGCAGCAGUGGGGAAUAUUGCACAAGGGGCGCAAGCCUGAUGCAGCGACGCCGCGUGGGGGAGGACGGCCUUCGGGUUGUAAACUCCUUUCGCUAGGGACGAAGCUUUUUGUGACGGUACCUAGAGAAGAAGCACCGGCUAACUACGUG
RNAcentral lists this ribosomal RNA (465 nucleotides) under uncultured bacterium. RNAcentral describes it as "partial 16S ribosomal RNA". It matches the Rfam family "Bacterial small subunit ribosomal RNA", at positions 28 to 507 of the family's 1533-position model. The record is from RNAcentral.